This 73-nucleotide transfer RNA is filed under the name Burkholderia pseudomallei. RNAcentral describes it as "tRNA-Trp(cca)". It matches the Rfam family "tRNA". From Rfam's summary of the family: Transfer RNA (tRNA) molecules are approximately 80 nucleotides in length. Their secondary structure includes four short double-helical elements and three loops (D, anti-codon, and T loops). Further hydrogen bonds mediate the characteristic L-shaped molecular structure. tRNAs have two regions of fundamental functional importance: the anti-codon, which is responsible for specific mRNA codon recognition, and the 3' end, to which the tRNAs corresponding amino acid is attached (by aminoacyl-tRNA synthetases). tRNAs cope with the degeneracy of the genetic code in two manners: having more than one tRNA (with a specific anti-codon) for a particular amino acid; and 'wobble' base-pairing, i.e. permitting non-standard base-pairing at the 3rd anti-codon position. Lineage: Bacteria; Pseudomonadati; Pseudomonadota; Betaproteobacteria; Burkholderiales; Burkholderiaceae. The record is from RNAcentral.
UUGGGGCUGUGGCAACAGUAGCCGGCCGGUCUCCAAAACCGUGCAGUCCCGGUUCGAAUCCGGGGCCCCAUGC